Molecule: ribosomal RNA, 472 nt
Filed under: uncultured bacterium
Lineage: Bacteria
Description: partial 16S ribosomal RNA
Rfam family: Bacterial small subunit ribosomal RNA
Source: RNAcentral
GACGAACGCUGGCGGCGUGCUUAACACAUGCAAGUCGAACGAUGAACCCGGAGCUUGCUCUGGGGGAUUAGUGGCGAACGGGUGAGUAACACGUGAGUAACCUGCCCUGGACUCUGGGAUAAGCGUUGGAAACGACGUCUAAUACCGGAUAGGACCUUGGAUCGCAUGAUCUGGGGUGGAAAGUUUUUUCGGUCUGGGAUGGACUCGCGGCCUAUCAGCUUGUUGGUGAGGUAAUGGCUCACCAAGGCGUCGACGGGUAGCCGGCCUGAGAGGGUGACCGGCCACACUGGGACUGAGACACGGCCCAGACUCCUACAGGAGGCAGCAGUGGGGAAUAUUGCACAAUGGGCGAAAGCCUGAUGCAGCAACGCCGCGUGCGGGAUGACGGCCGUCGGGUUGUAAACCGCUUUUAGUAGGGAAGAAGGGCUUCGGCUUGACGGUACCUGCAGAAAAAGGACCGGCUAACUACGUG